GAUCCUGGCUCAGGAUGAACGCUAGCGACAGGCCUAACACAUGCAAGUCGAGGGGCAGCGAAGAGGUAGCAAUACCUUUGCCGGCGACCGGCGCACGGGUGAGUAACACGUAUGCAAUCCACCUGUAACAGGGGGAUAACCCGGAGAAAUCCGGACUAAUACCCCAUAAUAUGGGCGCUCCGCAUGGAGAGCCCCAUUUAAAAGAGAGCAAAUUUUGGUUACAGACGAGCAUGCGCUCCAUUAG
RNAcentral lists this ribosomal RNA (244 nucleotides) under uncultured bacterium. RNAcentral describes it as "partial 16S ribosomal RNA". It matches the Rfam family "Bacterial small subunit ribosomal RNA", at positions 15 to 244 of the family's 1533-position model. The record is from RNAcentral.